This 250-nucleotide ribosomal RNA is filed under the name uncultured bacterium. RNAcentral's name for it is "partial 16S ribosomal RNA". It matches the Rfam family "Bacterial small subunit ribosomal RNA", at positions 524 to 772 of the family's 1533-position model. RNAcentral also lists the same sequence under 1 other name. The record is from RNAcentral.
UACGUAGGGGGCGAGCGUUGUCCGGAAUCAUUGGGCGUAAAGAGCUCGUAGGCGGUUCAGCAAGUCGGCUGUGAAAUUCCGAGGCUCAACCUCGGAACUGCAGUCGAUACUGCUGUGACUCGAGUCCGGUAGAGGAGAAUGGAAUUCCCGGUGUAGCGGUGAAAUGCGCAGAUAUCGGGAGGAACACCAGUAGCGAAGGCGGUUCUCUGGGCCGGUACUGACGCUGAGGAGCGAAAGCGUGGGGAGCAAA